RNAcentral lists this ribosomal RNA (814 nucleotides) under uncultured Acidobacteriota bacterium. RNAcentral describes it as "bacterial SSU rRNA". It matches the Rfam family "Bacterial small subunit ribosomal RNA", at positions 57 to 847 of the family's 1533-position model. The record is from RNAcentral. Lineage: Bacteria; Pseudomonadati; Acidobacteriota.
GCAAGUCGAACGCGAAAGUCCCGCAAGGGAUUAGUAGAGUGGCAAACGGGUGAGUAACGCGUGGGUGACCUGCCUUCGAGCGGGGGAUAACGUCCCGAAAGGGACGCUAAUACCGCAUGACAUCCUGCCUUUGAAGAGGUGGAGAUCAAAGCCGGGGAUUCGCAAGAACCUGGCACUUGAAGAGGGGCCCGCGUCUGAUUAGCUAGUUGGUGGGGUAAUGGCUCACCAAGGCAACGAUCAGUAUCCGGCCUGAGAGGGCGGACGGACACACUGGGACUGAGACACGGCCCAGACUCCUACGGGAGGCAGCAGUGGGGAAUUGUUCGCAAUGGGCGCAAGCCUGACGACGCAACGCCGCGUGGAGGAUGAAGAUCUUCGGGUCGUAAACUCCUUUCGAUCGAGACGAAUGGCUUCCGGGUGAACAAUCCGGGAGAGUGACGGUACCGAGAGAAGAAGCCCCGGCUAACUCCGUGCCAGCAGCCGCGGUAAUACGGGGGGGGCAAGCGUUGUUCGGAAUUACUGGGCGUAAAGGGCUCGUAGGUGGCCAACUAAGUCAGACGUGAAAUCCCUCGGCUUAACCGGGGAACUGCAUCUGAUACUGGAUGGCUUGAGAUUGGGAGAGGGAUGCGGAAUUCCAGGUGUAGCGGUGAAAUGCGUAGAUAUCUGGAGGAACACCGGUGGCGAAGGCGGCAUCCUGGACCAACACUGACACUGAGGAGCGAAAGCCAGGGGAGCAAACGGGAUUAGAUACCCCGGUAGUCCUGGCCCUAAACGAUGAAUGCUUGGUGUGGCGGGUAUCGAUCCCUGCCGUGCC